CCUACGGGAGGCAGCAGUCGAGAAUCAUUCACAAUGGGGGAAACCCUGAUGGUGCGACGCCGCGUGGGGGAAUGAAGGUCUUCGGAUUGUAAACCCCUGUCAUGUGGGAGCAAAUUAAAAAGAUAGUACCACAAGAGGAAGAGACGGCUAACUCUGUGCCAGCAGCCGCGGUAAUACAGAGGUCUCAAGCGUUGUUCGGAAUCACUGGGCGUAAAGCGUUCGGAGGCGGUUUCGUAAGUGGCGUGUGAAAGGCGCGGGCUCAACCCGCGGACGGCACAUGAUACUGCGAGACUAGAGUAAGGGAGGGGGAAGCGGAAUUCGCGGUGUAGCAGUGAAAUGCGUAGAUAUCGCGAGGAACACUCGUGGCGAAGGCAGGUUCCUGGACAUUAACUGACGCUGAGGCACGAAGGCCAGGGGAGCGAAAGGGAUUAGAUACCCCUGUAGUC
This 446-nucleotide ribosomal RNA is filed under the name uncultured bacterium. Its description in RNAcentral is "partial 16S ribosomal RNA". It matches the Rfam family "Bacterial small subunit ribosomal RNA", at positions 338 to 795 of the family's 1533-position model. The record is from RNAcentral.